Molecule: ribosomal RNA, 237 nt
Filed under: uncultured bacterium
Lineage: Bacteria
Description: partial 16S ribosomal RNA
Rfam family: Bacterial small subunit ribosomal RNA
Source: RNAcentral
CGAACGGGUGAGUAACGCGUGAGGAACCUGCCUCAAAGAGGGGGACAACAGUUGGAAACGACUGCUAAUACCGCAUAAGCCCACGGCUCGGCAUCGAGCAGAGGGAAAAGGAGCAAUCCGCUUUGAGAUGGCCUCGCGUCCGAUUAGCUAGUUGGUGAGGUAACGGCCCACCAAGACUACGAUGGAUAGGGGUUCUGAGAGGAAGGUCCCCCACAUUGGAACUGAGACACGGUCCAA